GAUGAAGAACGUAGCGAAAUGCGAUAAGUAAUGUGAAUUGCAGAAUUCAGUGAAUCAUCGAAUCUUUGAACGCACAUUGCGCCCGCCAGCAUUCUGGCGGGCAUGCCUGUUCGAGCGUCAUUUCAACCCUCGAGCCCCCCCGGGGGCCUCGGUGUUGGGGGACGGCACACCAGCCGCCCCCGAAAUGCAGUGGCGACCUCGCCGCAGCCUCCCCUGCGUAGUAGCACACACCUCGCACCGGAGCGCGGAGACGGUCACGCCGUAAAACGCCCAACUUCUUAGAGUUGACCUCGGAUCAGGUAGGAAUACCCGCUGAACUUAAGCAUAUAAAUAAGCGGAGGA
RNAcentral lists this unclassified non-coding RNA (342 nucleotides) under soil metagenome. Its description in RNAcentral is "partial contains 5.8S ribosomal RNA, internal transcribed spacer 2, and large subunit ribosomal RNA". The stretch from base 1 to 120 matches the Rfam family "5.8S ribosomal RNA", at positions 35 to 154 of the family's 154-position model. The record is from RNAcentral.